CCCGCAGGUCGAGCACGAGGCCGCCCUCGAUGACGUUGUGACCGGCAUUGCUGUGGCCGCCACUGCGGACGGACAGUUCGGUCCCCGUCUCGCGGGC
This 97-nucleotide transfer RNA is filed under the name Sphaerisporangium melleum. RNAcentral's name for it is "tRNA-His". Lineage: Bacteria; Bacillati; Actinomycetota; Actinomycetes; Streptosporangiales; Streptosporangiaceae. The record is from RNAcentral.